This is a long non-coding RNA of Lytechinus pictus (painted urchin), 758 nucleotides long. RefSeq lists it as uncharacterized. The transcript has 4 exons. NCBI's taxonomy places the organism in Eukaryota, Metazoa, Echinodermata, Echinoidea, Temnopleuroida, Toxopneustidae. The record is from RefSeq and is a predicted model, not a curated record.
AUUCACAAAGGUGGUUUUUGCAGAAACCAUGGUUUCAACCGUGGGUUUUACUGAUUUUGCGAUUCACAAAGGUGGUUUCAAAUGAAACCAUGGUUUCAACCGUGGGUUUUCGGCAUGAUUUUGAGUCAACUGUUUUAGGUGGUUUCAAACCGUGGGUUUUAGAAAAACCAUGGUUUUUAGGCACAUUGACCAAUCACAGAACAGUAUUUCGGUACAUUGCUGAGCAAGUGGAGAUAGACGACGAUAAAUAGAUUUGCAUGAAAAGAAAAGAAGCUAGAAGCGAAGCGUGUAAUAUCGGUAUUUGCCGAGCUGUGAGAACAUCUAAAUUUUCGAAUGGAUGAAAACAUCUUACAACAUGUGCAGGCUGUCCUGAAGAAUGAAGGAGGAUUGUUAGAGAGGAAUAUGCCAACCAGAACUGCAAUUAGGAGUCAUUGACAGGAGGAACCUUUGUGACUUGUACGAGGAUGAAGCUUUCAAGCACCACACGCUACCUUAUCAACAUGCUUGAAGAUGAUCUGAGCCUGAGGAGGGACAAAGGGCCUAGUGAUCGACUACCUUUGUAUCUGCAAAUAUCGACAAUUCUGCGUUUGUAUGCUGAUAAUUUCAGGGAAUACAUGGUGAUGAGACAUCAGCUGUUGAGUGAUCAAAGAUGUUUAGCAAGCCAUAGCAAGAAGAAAGGUUUUGUGAGAACUUCAACAACCAGAGAUGAGAUUGAGGCUACCCAACAACAACUGUAUGAGCGUUGUGGCCCAGUGGAU